CCCUGAGGGCGCUUCCUGUUAUUGACUCGCCUCGGAGAGAGCGCAGUUAACCCUGCUAACGCUUCUUUAUGGCUGAUAUUGCUCGUUAGUUAAACUACCCUAUUAGUUUGUCCGUUCUGCUCUGUUUAACUGUGUUUUUUGGAGAAACUGGAUAUAAAAGUCAGCUCAAAGAGAUAAGGAGAGGGAUGUCGUACUACUCCUCGUCAUCAUCUCGCGGGUCCUCCCGCAACUUGGAAUGCAAAGUGUAUGUUGGAGAUUUGGGCAGCGGAGCAGCUAAAGGCGAGCUGGAGAGAGCUUUCAGCUACUACGGCCCUCUGCGCAGCGUCUGGGUGGCGAGGAACCCACCCGGUUUCGCCUUUGUGGAAUAUGAAGAUGCCCGGGAUGCAGAGGAUGCUGUGAAGGGAAUGGAUGGAAAGGUUCUCUGCGGAUCUCGGAUUCGUGUGGAGCUGUCCACGGGUAUGUCCCGCAAGAGCCGAUACGGCCGACCAAGCCGCCGCCCGUUUGACCCAAGUGAUCGAUGCUAUCAGUGCGGAGACAGGGGCCACUAUGCCUACGACUGCUAUCGCUUCAGUAAAAGGGGACGCCGGAGCAGGUCCCGAUCUCGGUCCAGGUCCAGGUCAAGAGGCCGACGCAACCGCUCGCGCUCUCGAAGUCGCAGCAAUGACCGGAGAUACCGUUCUCCAUCUUAUUCGAAGCGCAAGAGCAGGUCUGGUUCUCCAGCCCGCUCUAAGUCUAGGACUCCGGUUCGGAGUCGCUCUCGAUCUCGCUCUCGCUCCAGAUCGGCCUCCCGCUCUCGUUCUCGAUCCAGGUCCCGCUCUCCCAGCCCCAAGAGGGACAGAGUGUGGGAGUCGACGGCUCAAGCACUGACCAGGGUUCAUCCUUGCCGUGUUAAGCGUCCUCCAGGAGGGUGACAAAAGAGCUUACCUGAGAUCAGCCUCCGCCACGGUGAUUUAAAGAGGUCGUCCGACGCACAAUUCUGACGAGACGCCUCCUGCGCGUACACAAACAGUUGUUCCACCCACCCCACUCCUAUCCCUGAACCCAUGCACUACUACUACUCCUACUACUGCAGACCAGAAUGCCCCCCUUCCCUCCAAAGCUCCGCCUUCUUGCUUAGCUUCUGAGAAGGGUGUGUGAGAGAGAGAGAGAGAGGAGAGAGAGCUGGCGAGAGAUCAGACUUCAAGACCCUCCGAGUGUGUCUUCGAGUUCUAGCAUCCGUCGCUUCUCUGUAUGUUGUUUCCGCCACUGUCUCCUAAAGCCGCUCCAGAUCCCCCAGCCAGAAAAACAGCCCCACCCCUGGAGACGAGCGGCAGGAGAAGAACCCCUAACCCAAAUGACUUCCCUUCCUUACCUUCUUAUCUCACUUAGCUUUCUUCUCCUCUACUUUCUGUCGUAUGACGUUUCGGUUUCAUUGAGUUUUCCUUUUUUUUUUUUUUGUUUCCCGUUACAUGAAAGUAGUAGCCGAGUAUAUUUUUGCUCUUUAAUUAUGCAUUUUUGUAUUUUUCUGUCUUACAUAGUGAUUGGAAUGAAAUGACAGUAGGUAUAAAAGGGCUAUUUUUUUGUUUUCACUCUUUUUUUUUAUUUUACCCCCCUGGUUGGUUUGUAGAUGUACACUGGAAACGAACAAAAACCGAAUAAAGAGUUCAUGGCAUGAUGUGAAA
Molecule: RNA transcript, 1661 nt
Organism: Pygocentrus nattereri (red-bellied piranha)
Lineage: Eukaryota; Metazoa; Chordata; Actinopteri; Characiformes; Serrasalmidae
Gene name: serine/arginine-rich splicing factor 7-like
Exons: 9
Source: RefSeq, a predicted model, not a curated record